UUAAGCGACUAAGCGUACACGGUGGAUGCCCUGGCAGUCAGAGGCGAUGAAGGACGUGCUAAUCUGCGAAAAGCGUCGGUAAGGUGAUAUGAACCGUUAUAACCGGCGAUGUCCGAAUGGGGAAACCCAGUGCAAUUCGUUGCACUAUCGUUAACUGAAUACAUAGGUUAACGAGGCGAACCGGGGGAACUGAAACAUCUAAGUACCCCGAGGAAAAGAAAUCAACCGAGAUUCCCCCAGUAGCGGCGAGCGAACGGGGAGCAGCCCAGAGUCUGAAUCAGCUUGUGUGUUAGUGGAGCGGUCUGGAAAGUCCGACGGUACAGGGUGAUAGUCCCGUACACCAAAAUGCACAGGUUGUGAACUCGAAGAGUAGGGCGGGACACGUGGUAUCCUGUCUGAAUAUGGGGGGACCAUCCUCCAAGGCUAAAUACUCCUGACUGACCGAUAGUGAACCAGUACCGUGAGGGAAAGGCGAAAAGAACCCCGGCGAGGGGAGUGAAAAAGAACCUGAAACCGUGUACGUACAAGCAGUGGGAGCACCUUCGGGUGUGACUGCGUACCUUUUGUAUAAUGGGUCAGCGACUUAUAUUCUGUAGCAAGGUUAACCGUAUAGGGGAGCCGCAGGGAAACCGAGUCUUAACUGGGCGUUAAGUUGCAGGGUAUAGACCCGAAACCCGGUGAUCUAGCCAUGGGCAGGUUGAAGGUUGGGUAACACUAACUGGAGGACCGAACCGACUAAUGUUGAAAAAUUAGCGGAUGACUUGUGGCUGGGGGUGAAAGGCCAAUCAAACCGGGAGAUAGCUGGUUCUCCCCGAAAGCUAUUUAGGUAGCGCCUCGUGAACUCAUCUUCGGGGGUAGAGCACUGUUUCGGCUAGGGGGUCAUCCCGACUUACCAACCCGAUGCAAACUACGAAUACCGAAGAAUGUUAUCACGGGAGACACACGGCGGGUGCUAACGUCCGUCGUGAAGAGGGAAACAACCCAGACCGCCAGCUAAGGUCCCAAAGUCAUGGUUAAGUGGGAAACGAUGUGGGAAGGCACAGACAGCCAGGAUGUUGGCUUAGAAGCAGCCAUCAUUUAAAGAAAGCGUAAUAGCUCACUGGUCGAGUCGGCCUGCGCGGAAGAUGUAACGGGGCUAAACCAUGCACCGAAGCUGCGGCAGCGACACUAUGUGUUGUUGGGUAGGGGAGCGUUCUGUAAGCCUGCGAAGGUGUGCUGUGAGGCAUGCUGGAGGUAUCAGAAGUGCGAAUGCUGACAUAAGUAACGAUAAAGCGGGUGAAAAGCCCGCUCGCCGGAAGACCAAGGGUUCCUGUCCAACGUUAAUCGGGGCAGGGUGAGUCGACCCCUAAGGCGAGGCCGAAAGGCGUAGUCGAUGGGAAACAGGUUAAUAUUCCUGUACUUGGUGUUACUGCGAAGGGGGGACGGAGAAGGCUAUGUUAGCCGGGCGACGGUUGUCCCGGUUUAAGCAUGUAGGCUGGUUGUCCAGGCAAAUCCGGAUAAUCAAGGCUGAGGUGUGAUGACGAGGCACUACGGUGCUGAAGUAACAAAUGCCCUGCUUCCAGGAAAAGCCUCUAAGCAUCAGGUAACAUCAAAUCGUACCCCAAACCGACACAGGUGGUCAGGUAGAGAAUACCAAGGCGCUUGAGAGAACUCGGGUGAAGGAACUAGGCAAAAUGGUGCCGUAACUUCGGGAGAAGGCACGCUGGUGUGUAGGUGAAGCCCCUGCGGGUGGAGCUGAGACCAGUCGAAGAUACCAGCUGGCUGCAACUGUUUAUUAAAAACACAGCACUGUGCAAACACGAAAGUGGACGUAUACGGUGUGACGCCUGCCCGGUGCCGGAAGGUUAAUUGAUGGGGUUAUCCGUAAGGAGAAGCUCUUGAUCGAAGCCCCGGUAAACGGCGGCCGUAACUAUAACGGUCCUAAGGUAGCGAAAUUCCUUGUCGGGUAAGUUCCGACCUGCACGAAUGGCGUAAUGAUGGCCAGGCUGUCUCCACCCGAGACUCAGUGAAAUUGAACUCGCUGUGAAGAUGCAGUGUACCCGCGGCAAGACGGAAAGACCCCGUGAACCUUUACUAUAGCUUGACACUGAACAUUGAGCCUUGAUGUGUAGGAUAGGUGGGAGGCUUUGAAGCGUGGACGCCAGUCUGCGUGGAGCCAACCUUGAAAUACCACCCUUUAAUGUUUGAUGUUCUAACGUUGGCCCCUUACCGGGGUUGCGGACAGUGUCUGGUGGGUAGUUUGACUGGGGCGGUCUCCUCCCAAAGCGUAACGGAGGAGCACGAAGGUUAGCUAAUCCUGGUCGGACAUCAGGAGGUUAGUGCAAUGGCAUAAGCUAGCUUGACUGCGAGCGUGACGGCGCGAGCAGGUGCGAAAGCAGGUCAUAGUGAUCCGGUGGUUCUGAAUGGAAGGGCCAUCGCUCAACGGAUAAAAGGUACUCCGGGGAUAACAGGCUGAUACCGCCCAAGAGUUCAUAUCGACGGCGGUGUUUGGCACCUCGAUGUCGGCUCAUCACAUCCUGGGGCUGAAGUAGGUCCCAAGGGUAUGGCUGUUCGCCAUUUAAAGUGGUACGCGAGCUGGGUUUAGAACGUCGUGAGACAGUUCGGUCCCUAUCUGCCGUGGGCGCUGGAGAAUUGAGGGGGGCUGCUCCUAGUACGAGAGGACCGGAGUGGACGCAUCACUGGUGUUCGGGUUGUCAUGCCAAUGGCACUGCCCGGUAGCUAAAUGCGGAAGAGAUAAGUGCUGAAAGCAUCUAAGCACGAAACUUGCCCCGAGAUGAGUUCUCCCUGAGACUUUAAGUCUCCUGAAGGAACGUUAAAGACGAUGACGUUGAUAGGCCGGGUGUGUAAGCGCAGCGAUGCGUUGAGCUAACCGGUACUAAUGAACCGUGAGGCUUAACCUU
This 2900-nucleotide ribosomal RNA is filed under the name Klebsiella pneumoniae. RNAcentral's name for it is "bacterial LSU rRNA". It matches the Rfam family "Bacterial large subunit ribosomal RNA". The record is from RNAcentral. Lineage: Bacteria; Pseudomonadati; Pseudomonadota; Gammaproteobacteria; Enterobacterales; Enterobacteriaceae.